GGGCCCGCACAAGCGGUGGAGCAUGUGGUUUAAUUCGAUGAUACGCGAGGAACCUUACCAGGACUUAAAUGUAAGUUGCAUGAUUCAGAAAUGAAUCUUUCUUCGGACUACUUACAAGGUGCUGCAUGGUUGUCGUCAGCUCGUGCCGUGAGGUGUCAGGUUAAGUCCUAUAACGAGCGCAACCCCCUAUCGUUAGUUGCCAUCAAGUAAAGUUGGGAACUCUAGCGAAACUGCCGGUGCAAACCGAGAGGAAGGUGGGGAUGACGUCAAAUCAUCACGGCCCUUACGUUCUGGGCUACACACGUGCUACAAUGGUCGGUACAGAAAGCAGCCACUAUGCGAAUAGGAGCGGAUCUAUAAACUAUCUC
This 368-nucleotide ribosomal RNA is filed under the name uncultured bacterium. Its description in RNAcentral is "bacterial SSU rRNA". It matches the Rfam family "Bacterial small subunit ribosomal RNA", at positions 917 to 1289 of the family's 1533-position model. The record is from RNAcentral.